Gallus gallus (chicken) is the source of this 2692-nucleotide long non-coding RNA. RefSeq lists it as uncharacterized. The transcript has 5 exons. The record is from RefSeq and is a predicted model, not a curated record. NCBI's taxonomy places the organism in Eukaryota, Metazoa, Chordata, Aves, Galliformes, Phasianidae.
GGCACUAUUUAAACAUGUUGAUGAACUGGACUGGAUUUCUCCCCACCUCCAUUCCAGCAAAACAAGGAGACUCAGAAGAUAAAAUUUGUUUUGUUAUUGCAAGUAGUGCUCCGCGGUGAAAUGCAGUUUGGGAAGACAGAUAAUACACGCUCAAUUGCUACUCAUCAUUUUACUGAUGGAUAAUCUAGAGGAGGCAAAUCUCAGCAAUUGCUUCAGGCAGCGCAGUUAGAGGUGGCCAACUCUGAACAGUCUUCCAGUGUGCACAGUUUGCUGAGCAAACAUGAGUGCAACUGGAAAAGCACAUGUGUGUUCAUGGGAGAUGUUCUGUGCAGUGAGUGAGCUGCUGCUGGGGAGAACCUGGGGUGUGGAGGUGGUGGUGGGAGCUGCUGACAUCCAGUACUCUGGAGCUGGCCAUCUCGGCACAGCCUCACAUGAGUUCUGACUCUCCGAGAGGAAGAUACUCUGGGAUGUACUGUAUUUCCUAGGAGCCUCCACAUGAUUUCGAAUUCUAGGUGAUGGGUGAAGGGUUCUCGUGUCUUUUCUAGGAGGUGAACCAUGGAGGGCUUGCUGAUAAAGUCUCAGACUGAUUCUCUCUCCUCUGGUUUUAUUUUUGGUUCAUUUUGAUAUGUUGGUCUGAAUUAUUCUGUAUUAUCUCACAUUCCUUUAAAUAAAUUAGUUUCUCCUGUCUCAGUUGCAUUUUUUCCCUCUUCCUUCCACCCCCCUCCCUUUCUACAAAGGGAAGGGGGAUGUGUCAUGUGAUUAACUCUUCAAACCAUGACUGCCUCCCUUCCAGCUGCAGGGCUCAGCACAAUUUCAAUUUGCUGAGCUGUAAUGCCACUGCCCCGGCAGCUGUCAGAAGCAUCAGCUUUCCAGAUAUCAGGCAGAGAGAUGACUGGCAGCAGAAAGCUGAGCAUCUUCAUCGGCCUUCUGUCCUUGUGCCCUGCCAGAAACUGCUUAGUGCUCUGGAAAAUAGGAAGAGGUUAAAGCGUUAGGAGAAUGGGGCAGGUUUUGGUCAGCAUGCUGGUUAAAAAAAAAAAAAAAAAAAAGCAUGUUUUUGGGGGUUUAUUGUGCAGCUGUUAAAGUCUCUACCAGAAUUAUCAGUAUAUCCUGGAGCUAGAAAGUGGAAAACCAUAAGACAAAAGACAAAGUUAUAGAUGCUACAAAUCAAGGAAAGGCAAUUACAGUGAGCUCCCAGAAAAUAACAGUCUAAAGAAAGCAAGGUAGUUCUAACUUUGUGUAUCAGUGUGGGAAGUAAAUCAGAGGAUAUCAGGCAACAUUACCUAAAAAAAAAAUAUUGUCAGGUUCUGGUGGCUGAUAUUUGAUAGUGGCAAAGAAAACCCAACCACCUAGCACCUAGCCUCCUAAAUAUUAUAUUGCAGUUGAAAAUAAAUUGCAAAUGCUUUGGUUAGAAUUAAGUACUGAAGACAUGAACAGGACAUGUCUACUGUUUUGUACUGCCUCAUUACUAAUCAUGCCAUCUGCAAUGCCUAACUAUAUAUAAGUUUUUGUUUGUUUUAGAUUAGACUUGGGAAAUAGGCAAACAUUCAGAAAGAAAUCCUGAAAUAAAAGAUGUACCAUUUCUGUUUCAGUUUAAGAUUUAUUGUAUCGUCAAAAUAUUGUCACUUGCAGGAACUGGAGAAGACAAUUAAUGAGAAUGAACUCCAUGAUUUUCUAGCAUUAUCAGAGCAAGGGCCUUCAUAUACAUAAGUCAAUUUAAAAUGCCUCCUAUUUAUUUCCGUGCAAACUACAACAAUGAGCACAAUAACACUAUCUGAUAACACAAAUUCUCAGCUACAAAAUAAUAUUUUUCAACACAGUCACCUCCCUUAGCUAUGCGUUUUCACCAGUGAUAAACAAGAGCCUGCAUGCCAUGCUCAUAAAAAUCUGCAUCAGCAGAGGUGACCCACUGUUUCACAGCAGCUAUGAUAAUGUUGUUGCUAGGAAAAUGUUGCUGAUGCAGUCCAUCUGUAUUGGCCUGAACAGAUGGAAGUCAGAAGGCACCAAAUCUUGAUUAUAUGGUCAGUGUUGUAGGACCGACAGUCCAGCCAAGAUUGAAAAUGUGCUGUAAGGUCUUCAGAAUGGUAUGGGGCCUGGUGUUAUCUUAUUACAAGAGAAAGGUUGUCUUCUUCUCUGGCCUGACUAUGGAAUUUCAUGCCUCCAGCUUUGCAAAGUAGCAGUCAGAAUUGAUGGUUUGUCUGGGUUCCAGGAAAUCCAGAAAGAUCACCCCUUUCCUAUCCCAAAUGACAGUGAACAUCAUUUUACUUGUUGAGGGCUGCAUCUUCAACUUUUUGUUUUAUGGGAAAUUCACAUGUCACACGCCAUGGACUGCUGUUCUGACUCCAGCUUGUAAUGGUGACACCACAUCUCAUCAGCAAUAAUGACGCGAUCCAGGAAACUGUCACCUUCAGUCUUGUAUUGGUUCAAUAGGUCAUGACCAACUUGUAUACAGUGUUCUUUCGGAUCCUGUGUGAGCAUUUGUGGGACACACUUGGUUCAGACUUUGCAGUGAAGCUGUAUUCUUCUCCAUGCACAGUUCCCUGGUCAUAAUCAUAUGUUUUGCACAGGUGAGCUGAUUGAGCCACUCCAUCCACCUCCUAACUGUGCUCACAUUCACUGUUUCUUCUCCAUAAAUGUUCAGCAGUGAAGAAUGCCAGUGGGUGCAUUUUUUUCUGCAUGGAGGAAUUCAGUGAAA